UACGGAGGAUGCAAGCGUUAUCCGGAUUUAUUGGGUUUAAAGGGUGCGCAGGCGGAAUGAUAAGUCAGUGGUGAAAGCUUCCGGCUCAACCGGAAAAUUGCCAUUGAUACUAUCGUUCUUGAGUACAGUUGAGGUAGGCGGAAUGUGUCAUGUAGCGGUGAAAUGCUUAGAUAUGACACAGAACACCGAUAGCGAAGGCAGCUUACCAAAUUGACACUGACGCUCAUGCACGAAAGCGUGGGGAUCAAACAGG
RNAcentral lists this ribosomal RNA (253 nucleotides) under uncultured bacterium. RNAcentral describes it as "partial 16S ribosomal RNA". It matches the Rfam family "Bacterial small subunit ribosomal RNA", at positions 524 to 776 of the family's 1533-position model. The record is from RNAcentral.